RNAcentral lists this ribosomal RNA (433 nucleotides) under uncultured bacterium. Its description in RNAcentral is "partial 16S ribosomal RNA". It matches the Rfam family "Bacterial small subunit ribosomal RNA", at positions 29 to 507 of the family's 1533-position model. The record is from RNAcentral.
AACGAACGCUGGCGGCAGGCCUAACACAUGCAAGUCGAGCGAGGACUUCGGUUCUAGCGGCGGACGGGUGAGUAACGCGUGGGAAUGUGCCCUUCUCUACGGAAUAGCCCUGGGAAACUGGGAGUAAUACCGUAUACGCCCUUUUGGGGAAAGAUUUAUCGGAGAAGGAUCAGCCCGCGUUGGAUUAGGUAGUUGGUGGGGUAAUGGCCUACCAAGCCGACGAUCCAUAGCUGGUUUGAGAGGAUGAUCAGCCACACUGGGACUGAGACACGGCCCAGACUCCUACGGGAAGCAGCAGUGGGGAAUCUUAGACAAUGGGGGCAACCCUGAUCUAGCCAUGCCGCGUGAGUGAUGAAGGCCUUAGGGUUGUAAAGCUCUUUCGGCUGGGAAGAUAAUGACGGUACCAGCAGAAGAAGCCCCGGCUAACUCCGUG